This is a long non-coding RNA of Arachis stenosperma, 334 nucleotides long. RefSeq lists it as uncharacterized. The record is from RefSeq and is a predicted model, not a curated record. Lineage: Eukaryota; Viridiplantae; Streptophyta; Magnoliopsida; Fabales; Fabaceae. The transcript has 3 exons.
GUUUUUAUUAUUAAAACAUGGUUUGUAGUUUUGUUGUCUGUUAUCAGCUACACCUGUCAUGAAAGAUUUGGUGAUUCUAAUGCCAAGUACAACUAUUUCUACACCUAUUUCUUUGGUGCACUCAAGCAUGUUAAGUUGAAGCAUGGCACAGACAAUAUUGAAGAUCUCUAAGAUCCAAAUUUGCUGAAAUAAUGGCGGUGUUGAAGUUAUUGCAGAAGCAGAUCGGUGGUUCUCAAGUGUCGAGAACCAGAGACCUGGUAGGAGAUUUGGUUGUGCAUUGCUAUUAUGAAUAGAAUAUCUAUCAAUAACCAAGGCAAAAGACCAUUGGAGUUAC